CAUGAUACUCUGGUUUCUCUUGGAACCAUUCUGGCUCCUCCUGGAUCCUGACUCAGUUGUUUUAAAGCAGGUAUAUUUUGCAACAGGCUGUGACAACCUACCACUUUAAGGUUAUCACAGCAGCUGCUCCUUCCUUCACUGUGAUGGCAAGCAGAGAAUUCAGACCUUCUGCUCCAAAACCACAAGCCCUCUACCACUUGUGCUGAAGCUUUCCUCAGAAAGACCAGGUAUUGGCCACUGUCAGAGGCAUGAAACCAGACUAGAUGGACCAGAGAUACACCUGCCAACAUCAGAAAGCUACAAAUGGGAACAUCUGGGGAGAAAAAAACAGGGACAAGACCUUUCUUUUCCUUGAAAUGCAUUGGACCGGGAAAGCUUUUAGAGGGACUAAGUAGAACAAUGAUGUAUAUAUCUAACUAAAAAUACCCUCCCUCCUAUAUAUAGUGGUUGGCAUGACUGAGCAUUUUGUAAAUGGAUCAGUAGAGGCACCGCUCUGAUCGGGAGCAGCAAAUCCUAUGUGAUGAUGUGGGGAUCUAUCGACGUACAAGUGAGAUUAUGAACACUCUGUAUGGCUCUGUGCCAGGUUGCAAACUCCAUUUUGAAUGGUUUGCUGCCUAUGCUGUUGUCCUUUCCUCUCCAUAUUGGACUGAAAUUCCAAAGUAUGGGAUCCUGGGUCUAAUAUUGGAGGGUUGUUAAAUCUUGAUCAUCUUCUAUUCAAACAGAAGCACCCUUGGACAUAGAGCUGCUGCUGCCCAGAAGAACCAGUCUGGGCUGGUAACUAAGUAAUGGAUCACCUGGUGAGGGAUUUUGAUCACCUGCUGAGACUGAAUGGAGCACUACUUGACAAAGGGGGUGGAUGGUUAUAGACUAGAGGGUCUCUCAGCAGCCAUUUUAAGAAGCACAAGUGACCACAAGCAGAAGCAGUGAAAGCCUGGGCAGGAGAGUGGAAGGGCACUGACGAUAGAGGUCAGAGCAAGAGAGAAAGGGCAUGAUUCAGAAAAGAAGCCGUGUACUGCAGGGGGGUCCAGGACUGCUCGGAAGGGCCUGCCACAGCCCAGAGCACUCUCCUGGGUGGUGAGGAAACGGAGGCAGGGAAAGAUAUAUAGAUUUUUUUUAUUAUUUUGUGUAGAUCUAUGUAUUU
Molecule: long non-coding RNA, 1141 nt
Organism: Malaclemys terrapin pileata
Lineage: Eukaryota; Metazoa; Chordata; Testudines; Emydidae
Exons: 3
Source: RefSeq, a predicted model, not a curated record